Molecule: long non-coding RNA, 1008 nt
Filed under: Solanum tuberosum (potato)
Lineage: Eukaryota; Viridiplantae; Streptophyta; Magnoliopsida; Solanales; Solanaceae
Description: long non-coding RNA (STUB_LNC006296)
Source: RNAcentral
GUUGAUCGCGCUGAGGUUCUAUUGGUCUUAUGAUUGGCUUUGGUUUUUGAAGGCCAGGUAUUCUUAAUAAAUUACAUCUUCUGUUUCUAUUAUGGUGGAAGAUUACUAUGAAAUCAUUAAAGAACCUAUGGAUUUCGGUACAAUGAGGCUAAGCUUCAUGAGGGAAUGUAUGAAAACCUCCAAAAGUUAGAGAUCUGCUAUUCCCCUAAAUUGAGCCUUUAGGUUUAUUUUCUUAUAUAGAAAAUCUUUUUCUUUUCCCUUCAAGUCAAAGUGGACUUGGAUGAAUUCGAGGAAGCAAUAUCAAGUUGUGUCAGUCAUUCUCUUUCUAUUAUAGUUACGUUGAUUGUAGCAACAUUUGGACCUUCAAUCACAUACCAUGUUUGUGAAGUGCAUUAUCUACUAAUAACACAACAAUCAAUCAUUAAUUUAAAAAGAAUGUCCAUACAUAUAAUGUCUAUUUAAUUCUAAUUACACGUAGUCAGGUUAUCUAUUCCUAGACUUGGUAGAUGUUACUAUCUUACUAGUUCUACAUAUGUUUUUUGUAUGACUAAACAACUUAGAAAGUAUUUACUCUACUUUUAUCAUUGAUAUUUUGUCCAUAAAUUUGCAGCUACAUGUUCAUAUAUAGAUGAAAGAUUAUGUAUUUCUUAGAACUUUGCUUUAGAAUUGAGUGCAACGUUAAUUGGAAAGUUGAAAUUUAGAUAUACUAGAUUGUCUAAACUAUGUUUAAUUUAAGUUCUCUAGUGGAAUGUUUAGUAGUUAUGAGCAUUAUUAAUUAUGUCUUUGACAGGUUUAAUGAUUUGAUGAAUUUACAAGUCUCCGACCAAAAGCGAAGAUGAGAUUAUCAUAAUGCCGAGACAGUUGGACAACUUUUCAAAUUUCGUAUAGUAAAUGUAAUGACUAAUAUUGGGCUGUAGAAUGCUACAUUGCUACUGAUGGGAUGUUAAUCUGAUUUUUGUAACUGCUUAUAUAUAUGAAGGCAUGCCAUGCUUGAUCUUAUGUCUUUAU